CCGAGUUUACAACUCCCAAACCCCUGUGAACAUACCGCUUGUUGCCUCGGCGGAUCAGCCCGCUCCCGGUAAAACGGGACGGCCCGCCAGAGGACCCCUAAACUCUGUUUCUAUAUGUAACUUCUGAGUAAAACCAUAAAUAAAUCA
RNAcentral lists this unclassified non-coding RNA (147 nucleotides) under soil metagenome. RNAcentral describes it as "partial internal transcribed spacer 1". The record is from RNAcentral.